RNAcentral lists this ribosomal RNA (253 nucleotides) under uncultured bacterium. Its description in RNAcentral is "partial 16S ribosomal RNA". It matches the Rfam family "Bacterial small subunit ribosomal RNA", at positions 524 to 776 of the family's 1533-position model. The record is from RNAcentral.
UACGUAGGGGGCUAGCGUUGUCCGGAAUUAUUGGGCGUAAAGCGCGCGUAGGCGGUUACUUAAGUCGGAUGUGAAAGCCCUCGGCUUAACUGAGGAAGUGCACCCGAAACUGAGUAGCUAGAGUACGAAAGAGGGUCGCGGAAUUCCCGGUGUAGAGGUGAAAUUCGUAGAUAUCGGGAGGAACACCGGUGGCGAAGGCGGCGACCUGGGUCGAGACUGACGCUGAGGCGCGAAAGCGUGGGGAGCAAACAGG